CCUACGGGAGGCAGCAGUCGGGAAUAUUGCGCAAUGGAGGAAACUCUGACGCAGUGACGCCGCGUAUAGGAAGAAGGUUUUCGGAUUGCAAACUAUUGUCGUUAGGGAAGAGAAAGGACGGUACCUAAGGAGGAAGCCCCGGCUAACUAUGUGCCAGCAGCCGCGGUAAU
Molecule: ribosomal RNA, 170 nt
Filed under: uncultured bacterium
Lineage: Bacteria
Description: partial 16S ribosomal RNA
Rfam family: Bacterial small subunit ribosomal RNA
Source: RNAcentral